Poecilia reticulata (guppy) is the source of this 358-nucleotide non-coding RNA. The record is from RefSeq and is a predicted model, not a curated record. Lineage: Eukaryota; Metazoa; Chordata; Actinopteri; Cyprinodontiformes; Poeciliidae.
CAGCCAAUUGACACACUUGAUGUAAUUAUUUAGGCUUGCUCCAGCUUUCCCCAGUCAGGUGUGAGGGGGAAAGCUGGAGACAAAGGAGCUACAGAUCUGAAAAGAUCCAGUGAGUUUGGAGCCCUGAAGCUGCCAUGCUCUCAACUGUUAAUGGAAUUGGCCAGGUGAUCCCUUUUUAGGGUAAAAUAUGGCGAGCUUCUGAAAACUAGCUGGAGCCAGGAGAGCCCUAAGAAUCACUUCAUCCUGGUCUGUAUCAGUUCCCCCUCCAUCUCACCACUCAGGCACACACUCCAUUAUUCAUCUCUUUAUCCGAAAGAACUUGCGCUGGGACAUUGUCAACUUAAAUAUCUGGAUAAUC